UACGUAGGGUGCGAGCGUUGUCCGGAAUUAUUGGCGUAAAGAGCUCGUAGGCGGUGUGUCACGUCGGCCGUGAAAACCUGCAGCUUAACUGUGGGCGUGCGGUCGAUACGGGCAUCACUGGAGUUCGGCAGGGAGACUGGAAUUCCUGGUGUAGCGGUGAAAUGCGCAGAUAUCAGGAGGAACACCGGUGGCGAAGGCGGGUCUCUGGGCCGUAACUGACGCUGAGGAGCGAAAGCGUGGGGAGCAAACAGG
RNAcentral lists this ribosomal RNA (252 nucleotides) under uncultured bacterium. RNAcentral's name for it is "partial 16S ribosomal RNA". It matches the Rfam family "Bacterial small subunit ribosomal RNA", at positions 524 to 776 of the family's 1533-position model. The record is from RNAcentral.